GAUGAAGAACGCAGCGAAAUGCGAUAAGUAGUGUGAAUUGCAGAAUUCAGUGAAUCAUCGAAUCUUUGAACGCACAUUGCGCCCCCUGGUAUUCCGGGGGGCAUGCCUGUUCGAGCGUCAUUUCACCACUCAAGCCUCGCUUGGUAUUGGGCAACGCGGUCCGCCGCGUGCCUCAAAUCGACCGGCUGGGUCUUCUGUCCCCUAAGCGUUGUGGAAACUAUUCGCUAAAGGGUGUUCGGGAGGCUACGCCGUAAAACAACCCCAUUUCUAAGGUUGACCUCGGAUCAGGUAGGGAUACCCGCUGAACUUAAGCAUAUCAUAAGCGGAGGA
This 330-nucleotide unclassified non-coding RNA is filed under the name soil metagenome. Its description in RNAcentral is "partial contains 5.8S ribosomal RNA, internal transcribed spacer 2, and large subunit ribosomal RNA". The stretch from base 1 to 120 matches the Rfam family "5.8S ribosomal RNA", at positions 35 to 154 of the family's 154-position model. The record is from RNAcentral.